GAUGAACGCUGGCGGCGUGCCUAAUACAUGCAAGUCGAGCGAACGGACGAGAAGCUUGCUUCUCUGAUGUUAGCGGCGGACGGGUGAGUAACACGUGGAUAACCUACCUAUAAGACUGGGAUAACUUCGGGAAACCGGAGCUAAUACCGGAUAAUAUUUUGAACCGCAUGGUUCAAAAGUAAAAGACGGUCUUGCUGUCACUUAUAGAUGGAUCCGCGCUGCAUUAGCUAGUUGGUAAGGUAACGGCUUACCAAGGCAACGAUGCAUAGCCGACCUGAGAGGGUGGUCGGCCACAUUGGAACUGAGACACGGUCCAGACUCCUAAGGGAGGCAGCAGUAGGGAAUCUGCCGCAGUGGGCGAAAGCCUGACGGAGCAACGGCGCGUGAGUGAUGAAGGUCUUGGGAUCGUAAAACUGUGUUAUGAGGGAAGAACAUCUGUGUAAGGAACUGUGCACAUCGUGACGGUACCUAAUCAGAAAGCCACGGCUAACUACGUG
RNAcentral lists this ribosomal RNA (497 nucleotides) under uncultured bacterium. RNAcentral's name for it is "partial 16S ribosomal RNA". It matches the Rfam family "Bacterial small subunit ribosomal RNA", at positions 28 to 507 of the family's 1533-position model. The record is from RNAcentral.